This 118-nucleotide ribosomal RNA is filed under the name Esox lucius (northern pike). The record is from RNAcentral. Lineage: Eukaryota; Metazoa; Chordata; Actinopteri; Esociformes; Esocidae.
GCUUACGGCCACACCUCCCUGAGCACGCCCCGAUCUCGUCUGAUCUCGGAAGCUAAGCAGGGUCGGGCCCGGUUCGUACUUGGAUGGGAGACGCCUGGGAUACCAGGUGCUGUAAGCC